RNAcentral lists this long non-coding RNA (1950 nucleotides) under Triticum aestivum (bread wheat). Its description in RNAcentral is "long non-coding RNA (TAES_LNC006787)". The record is from RNAcentral. Lineage: Eukaryota; Viridiplantae; Streptophyta; Magnoliopsida; Poales; Poaceae.
UACUUCUCGAUGACCUUGCCGUCUCCAACCCAUCCGUGGGUAUUUCAACUCCCCCUUUUUUUUUUUUCUGCGCACAUUUGCUCUACUGUCAUUUUGCCUGGUAUGCUCUCAUUUUCUUAGAUUUAGAUUUUCUUGUUCUAUCUCCUCCCAUUUUCUAUUUGUUGUUCUUUUCUCUGUUUUUAAUUUGUUUUUUUACAUCCUAUUUUAUUUAUUCUUUUUGGCUACGACAUAAUGAAUGGAUUAUUGCUUUAUUUGGCCUUUAUUAUAUUGUUUCCCAUCUACUAUAUGGUUCACUUUGCUAGCUAUAAAAAAAGCAUUAUGGGUUACUGCCUGGUGGACCUCUGAAUAUUUUUUCACCUCAGCUUGAUUGACAAGCUCACCGGCAGCUUGAUUGACAAGCUCACCGGCAGGAAAUGUAGUAUGAGAUGAUUUUUUUUAAUUUCUCUAGCUUUUCUUAUUGGUAUGUACAGAAAGGACAAAGUCGUAUACUUAAUAUCGAGUCUUAUUCAUCUGCAUUUAUGGAAUACCAUUGAAAAUCUUGAAUUACUUCUGCUUUGAUGGGUAAUCUAUCACUAAACAGAAUAUAGCUUCCAGCCUUCACACAUAGAGACUAAUUUAGUACUUCGGUUUUGGGCUGUCCUAUUUUCUGUGUGGUCGAACAGGAAAGCUAAAUGUACAGUUUAUUUGCUCGGCACCAUUUAUUGUGCCACAUAGAAGUACAUCUUUUUCUUAUUUUUUCUAAUGCAAUCAUCAAUACAGUACCUUAGUUAACCUUCCCAAUUUUUGUUCUCUUUUUGGUCAUACAUUAGGAUUAUUGUGGAUUUUCUGAAGGUGUUGGCGGGGGUUGCACGGCAUGUUCCGUCUGGUUUCAGGAGUGUGUGCUGCACCUGAAAAAAUUUCUCGGGUUGUCUCUCUACAUAUUUCCACGUUAGUUGUGAUAUUUUAUUUAUUGCUCUGCAAUCGACAGUUUGACCUCAUGCUAGGGCAGCCUCAGCCAGUUGCCUCUUCUAUCAAAGGUAAAGAACAGAAGCCUUUUUAUUGAUAUUGCUGUAUGGAAAGUUUACUGGAAAUUAUGAUUCUAAGUGGGUGUGAAUAACGUGCUUUGUCUUGAAAUAAUGACAUGGAGAAACUAUAGUUUCCAUACUAAACUUGGUAUUUUGAUUCACACAAAGUUUCCGUCUACUGAUGAUUAAACCCAUACUUGCCAUAUGAAUAAAGUGACAUCAAAAGGGCACUGAACAACAGAGAGAAUUAAGGAUGCCUUAUAAGCAUGUUUUCACUUAAGAUAGAUUUGUAUGACUUCACAAAUAUUCCUGUCAAUAUAGAUUGUAAAGUAGCAGUAGCUUAUACAGAUAGCUGCAGUUGUUGGCUGCACAUGACAACUUCAUGUUAUUCUGCGCUCACCAUAAUAAUCAUUUUUUUUUGUUCCAUGUAAAGUGGCAUGCUUCUUUCUUGCUAAUUGUCAAUUCUUUUGUACGCUAGACAAUGAGGGUAUGUAGAUAACAUGUAUGGUUUUUACAUUGUUUUGCGCAGGUUGAGAUGCAUCACAUGAUGUUUUCCUUUUACAUUUAUGGGUAUUACAGAACCCUUUCUUUUUCCACAAGGGGUAGUAGCUGUGCCAUUCGAUUCGGAGGACAAAGAGUUGAUCACAAAGGGGUAGCAUUCAGGACAUAUACAUAAAAGAGUAUAGAACCAAAUUACAUGAUGUAAUUGACCACUAUUUCUAUUAACUUCUCCUGUAGCCAAUGUUCACAAGUUCAUGUAUUAAGUACAUCUUAUUGUGUCACUUGUGUUUACUCCUUUUUUAAUGCAAGUUUACUGCUACUCUCUACAAGUUCAUGUAUUAAGUACAUUUUAUUAUGUCACUUGUGUUUACUCCUUUUUUAAUGCAAGUUUACUGCUACUCUCUACAAGUUCAUGUAUUAAGUACAUUUUAUUGUGUCACUUGUG